RNAcentral lists this transfer RNA (72 nucleotides) under Ictidomys tridecemlineatus (thirteen-lined ground squirrel). RNAcentral's name for it is "Spermophilus tridecemlineatus (thirteen-lined ground squirrel) tRNA". It matches the Rfam family "tRNA". Rfam says of the family: Transfer RNA (tRNA) molecules are approximately 80 nucleotides in length. Their secondary structure includes four short double-helical elements and three loops (D, anti-codon, and T loops). The record is from Rfam by way of RNAcentral. Lineage: Eukaryota; Metazoa; Chordata; Mammalia; Rodentia; Sciuridae.
UGGGUUGUGGCUCAGUGGUAGAACACUUGUCUAGUAUAUAUGAGACACUGGGUUUGAUCCCCAGCACCACAU